Molecule: transfer RNA, 74 nt
Filed under: Tetraselmis suecica
Lineage: Eukaryota; Viridiplantae; Chlorophyta; Chlorodendrophyceae; Chlorodendrales; Chlorodendraceae
Description: tRNA-Met
Rfam family: tRNA
About the family: Transfer RNA (tRNA) molecules are approximately 80 nucleotides in length. Their secondary structure includes four short double-helical elements and three loops (D, anti-codon, and T loops).
Source: RNAcentral
CGCGGGGUAGAGCAGUUUGGUAGCUCGUCGGGCUCAUAAUCCGAAGGUCGAAGGUUCAAAUCCUUCCUCCGCUA